GACGAACGCUGGCGGCAUGCUUAACACAUGCAAGUCGAACGGAAAGGCCCUGCUUUGGUGGGGUGCUCGAGUGGCGAACGGGUGAGUAACCCGUGAGUAACCUGCCAUUCACUUUGGGAUAACUUCAGGAAACUGGGGCUCAUACCGGAUAGGAUUUCCCGCUGCAUGGUGGGGGUUGGAAAGUUUCGGCGGUUGGGGAUGGACUAGCGGCUUAUCAGCUUGUUUGUGGGGUAGUGGCUGACCAAGGCUUUGACGGGUAGCCGGGCUGAGAGGAGGAGCGGCCAAGCUGGGCUUGAGAUACGGCCCAGACUCGUACCGUAGGCAGCGGUGGGGAAGAGUAUACAAGGGACGGAGGGCUGACGCGGCAACGCCGCGUGGGGGAAGAGGGCCUUGGGGUUGUAAUCCGCAGUUGCUUGUGACGAGGCGUGAGUGACGGUAAUGGGUAAAUAAGCACCGGCUAACUACGUG
Molecule: ribosomal RNA, 468 nt
Filed under: uncultured bacterium
Lineage: Bacteria
Description: partial 16S ribosomal RNA
Rfam family: Bacterial small subunit ribosomal RNA
Source: RNAcentral